GUUUCGGAGUCUCUCCCGAGGUGCCUCCUACACAGGUGGUUCCCAAGUGGUUCAGCUCAAGGUCCCCUUUUAUUUUCUCCCUGAUCCCGCCCCCUAGCACCUGGGCUUUGAAAGAUUAGGCCUAGCAAAUGAACGGCAAUUAUGCAGUAAUAAUGACUCCAUUUUCUCAUUUUUAUUAAUAAAACACACAUGGGACGUGCCACUCAGCGCUUUGGCUGAGAGAAAACGAGUUUCCCCACUCGGUGAAUAGAAUUCCACCCAGAGGCAGCCAGUUAACAAACCACCUUCUGGGCUCGGCUCAGCUGGGAAUCACUUGCUGCGCUUGACAGCCCUUUCCAGGGGCCUCCAUAGAGCCGGCUGCCUGCCCUGGUCUCUGAAGUCAGAGGAGACAGGGCCCAUUUCAGCUGCUCCCGGCUGGCCUGUCCAUCCCCGCUGGAAUCAGCAGACCCUGACUUCUGGAGAAGCGUUCCUGUGAUGUGUCAGCUGCUCCGGGAGAGCCCAGAGUGAUGGAUUCCAAGACCUGUCAGGAGAAGGGGAUCACGAUGAAGACACUGAGGUUCAGAGAUGUUCAGCGAUUUCCCCCGAGUCACAGGGAGCAGGUUUCUCUUCUUCCAGACCUGCACCAUGACACCUGGUGAGUCCUGGUCCCCGUGACACAUUCACACCCCCCGGGCAUACUGGACAUGAGACAUGUUUAAUUCUUCUUUGUGAGUCUGGGCCCCAGGAGGUACAGACAUCUCCUAAGGAUGGGGACUGCCUCUGGGAAGGGACUGGAAAAGACUGAAAGGAAAGGGCUAGGCUGAAGAGAGCCUCUGAGUGGCAAAGCACAGAGGUGGGCUUGAGUGUGAGGGGCUGUGCACAGUGGCCUGCCAGCCCAUGGAGGCGGGGGGGGGGGACCUACUGUACGUGUUCACAUUUAGGUGAGAGAGGCUGUAAAGACUUUGCUGGGGGCUCAGGCUGACAUGGACCUCCUGUAGGAUGCUAGGCUUGUGUGUUUUCUAAUGAGCUCUAAAAUGAAGCUCUCAGGAAGCUGUGUGUUUCAAGGGUGGACUCAAUGAAGAAGGUCCUUUGGACCAAAGAAAUUGAUAAGGAGUGGAGGAUGUAGAUUCAGUGGACUUUCACUGAUAGCCUACCAUGGACCCAACACGAGGUCAGGCACUUGCUCAUAUUUAAUCCCAUUUAAUCCUCAUCAAAGUCCUCUAAGGCGAUGAAACUCAGAGAGGUUCAGUAACUGUCCUGAGGUCACAAAGCUGGUAACUGACAACACACAGAUUCAAACUGAGGCCUCUUCUUUUUUUCUUUUUCUUUCUUCUUCUUUUUUUUUUUUUUUUCCUUUUCUGACUGCCCCACAGCAUAUGGAGUUUCUGGGCCAGGCAGGGAUCAGACUAGAGAUGCAAUUGCAACCUAAGCCACAGCUGUGGUAAUGCCAGAUCCUUAACCCACUGUGCCAGAUGGGGGAUAGAACUUGCAUCCCAGCACUCCCAAGACACCCCUGACCCCAAGAUGCCACAGCGGGAACUCUUCAAACUGAGGCCUCUUAAUUCCAGUGUGAUUUGUUAAAAGAGCAUCUUCA
RNAcentral lists this long non-coding RNA (1573 nucleotides) under Sus scrofa (pig). RNAcentral describes it as "lncRNA (ENSSSCG00065077696.1)". The record is from RNAcentral. Lineage: Eukaryota; Metazoa; Chordata; Mammalia; Artiodactyla; Suidae.